GACGAACGCUGGCGGCGGGCUUAACACAUGCAAGUCGAACGGAAAGGCCCUGCUUGUGUGGGGUUCUCGAGGGGCGAACGGGUGAGUAACACGUGAGUAACCUGCCCUUGACUUUGGGAUAACUUCAGGAAACUGGGGCUAAUACCGGAUAGGAGCUCCUGCUGCAGGGUGGGGGUUGGAAAUUUUAGGCUGUAGGGGAUGGACUCGCGGCUUAUCAGCUUGUUGGUGGGGUAGUGGCUUACCAAGGCUUUGACGGGUAGCCGGCCUGAGAGGGUGACCGGCCACCAUGGGACUGAGAUACGGAGCAGACGCCUAUGGGAGGCAGUAGUGGGGAAUCUUGCCCAAUGGGAGGACGUCUGAUGAAGAAACGCUGCGUGUGGGAUGACGGCCUUCGGGGUGUAAACCGCAUUAGCUUGUGACGAAGCGUGAGUGACGGUAAUGGGUAAAGAAGCACCGGCUAACUACGUG
Molecule: ribosomal RNA, 468 nt
Filed under: uncultured bacterium
Lineage: Bacteria
Description: partial 16S ribosomal RNA
Rfam family: Bacterial small subunit ribosomal RNA
Source: RNAcentral